CGUCUCCAUCCUCCGCGCUCCGGAUCCAGCUCCCUGUUGUCCGGCUGGUGCCUCCCGGCCGGCGGCGCCAAGGGACACUUCUCAUCUGGAGACCAGAGGGAAGAGAGGAACUCGAGUUUUCAAUACAGGCCAGGUUUGUGUCGAUUGCUAGCUGAGCUACGGAUCUCCGCAGCUCCUCCAGAGUUACCGUGUGCCUCUUGGCUGCAGCUUUACCGAACGUUUUCCAUUCUCAGAGUAUAAGUCAACUUUAUUGUCCUCUUCUCAUCUCCUCGCCAAUCCCAUCAACCCCUGGGUGAUCGAAUGGCCCUGAGGACGCGCAGAAGAAGCACAGAGCUCAGGCAUCACCCGUGGUUCUCCUCCUCCUUGUCUUCCCUGCUUCCCCCCCCCUCUUUUUCUCUUCUCACUGGCAUGGAGUCCAGAGCAACACAUGUCUCUGAUCAAGUCCAGCCUGCGUCAUCAGUUAGUAAACUCCAGGCUCCAGGAAAACCAACAGAGAGCACAUUCAUAGCCGGCGACCCUGUGACUGAGUGUGUGAUUCAUUACUUUUUAAUAUGCUCCCUCACCACCCCCACCGCCCCCCAACCCACCCAACCACUUCUUCUCCAAUCCGGCCGAGGGGCAACUCCACACAGCCUGAUCGAAUCCAUCAUUAAGCAUACUUGUGGUGUUACCGCUGUUGGUCUUGUUUACCAGAUGCUGUAGCCGUCUCAGCUCGGCGGAGACAGGAAUUAGCUCUGCAUUCUGAAGUUCGAGAAAGAGACGGCGACACUCGAUGAAAUCAAGCCCAAUCACAUGUAGGGAGGAGUGAUGAAGCCGAAACACAGGAGGAAGGUGGUGGACGUUGGACGAUGUGAGGCGAGGGCCGUUCCGGGGAGAGUAUUCGUCAGAAGUGAAAAGCAAGUCUAUUCCAAAGAGUAAAUUACAAAGAUGACUUUGUUUCUGAUCCCUCAGACAGCUGACACAGAUUAACAUCGCUCAGGUCAAAUUUUACAAUGCCUCGCAGAAGCAUUCGUUCCCCUUGAACUGUCCCAUAUGUGGUCACUUUACAAAUGUCAACACUUCAGUGGGAUUUUACGUAACACUAAGUCGGGCCUAACUGUGCGUUACUGUGUGUUAUAAUAAGCAGUUCCAAACAAUUUUUAAAAAAUGAGAAUGUGGUAAAGUCUUUCUGAAAAGCCGUCAGGAGUCUCCAUCAGUUUUCACGCCUGAUCCUCCGGUAGACGCGGUUCGAUUGGGGACCAAAGUUGCAUCGUUUGUUUCUUUUGAAAAACGUGUUCCCUCUUUCCCCUGUGGUGGCGCUGCUCCAAAAACUAUGGAGGGAAAUAAGAAAAACAAAGAAAACAUUCAACAUUUGCAAAAUGUAAAUAAAAAUGGACUAAUGUCCAAUUUUAGCUGUGGUGGAAUUCUCUUUUGUUUUUGUGAAAAGACCCGCAAGGCAUUUCACCUACUAGCGAAGGACUCGUUCUUUUGCUUACCCAGAAUGCCCUGCACUGUAGUCCUCUUACUGCUUUUGGAACGGCCUCAGGUCCGCUUGGCGUUCACAUAUGCAUCUGAACCACACCAGAGUUCACUUCAACUGAACCGAGACUGAGGUUUUUAGGCAGACCAGAGUUUUGUUUGGGUUUUUUUGGUCCGCAUCAGAGUUUGAUUACCCAUUCUCACCUCCUCAAACUAACUGGACUUUCAAGCCAAACAAAAUAAAAUUUGA
Long non-coding RNA from Poeciliopsis prolifica (blackstripe livebearer), 1708 nucleotides. RefSeq lists it as uncharacterized. The record is from RefSeq and is a predicted model, not a curated record. The transcript is spliced from 3 exons. Lineage: Eukaryota; Metazoa; Chordata; Actinopteri; Cyprinodontiformes; Poeciliidae.